GGCUCCGCGCGCCUGCCAGGCCGGGGCCGGCGGCGGAACAGCUUGGGACCCGAAACGCCUCGGCUUUUCUGCGGACCCGCGCCCGGCCGCUGCCGCCGGACGCUUGAAAAGGUUUGCCUGGCCCAGGGACCGGGGUUAGGACUAGCAGAAAGUGGCUUCUUUUCGUUUCUGAUUCCCCUAACGACAAAGUUGGACCUUGGUCUAUCUGGUCCCAGUUCCAAGCAGGUAGCAUAGUGGUAAUAUCCAAGACAGCCAAUGUCCCAGCCUUUAUUAUUUUAGAAGCAGCUACAUGUAGGAUACCAUGGAGUGCUGCAGCCUUUCUGGGAUUGCGGGGAGGGGUCACUAAACACACCGUGAGGAAAACCCCCAGGAAAAGUGAGCUGUGCUUGCUUGCCCCUGUCACCGACACUCGGACCCUUGGAGUUGGCCUGCCAGGGUGCAAAGGAGGGCAGGCCAGGAGGGCCGCGAGGGAGGUGUGUGCAGUGGGCAGAGCGUGAAAGCUCCGGGAGGAAAACACGCGGAACAGCUGCCCACCAUCCCGCGUGGGAGGCAGGCAGAGCGCAGAACUAAAGCAGUGAUUGACCUCCCUCUUCGAAGAGGGUUGGAUUAUCAAAGACGGGCGGGGACUGCGCAGGCUGUCAAGCAACCCUGUAAAGAAGGGGUGGAGAGUGGACUAGAUCUAUUACCGCACCUGAAAUAUAAACACGUGACGAUCCGGAAGCUCUUUAGCUGUGACCUUACCUACCCAAAAACCCCACCCUGCUUAAGACCCAGAUUGCGCGUCUUACAUCUGAGCUAUGUGGACUCCAGCUCCGAUUGUUAAUACUUGCCCAAGAAAGCUUGAGGGUAAUGGAAGGUUAUUUUUCUGUUCUCAUUGAACUUCCCAAUAGACAUUUGCAGGAGCUUUAAUCAAUUAGGUGAUGGCCACUUUGGCAAUACCACGUUGGAGUUUUGCUUCAGAAAUGCUUUCCUAAUCCCCUUAGGCACCACACCUUCUAACCACUAAUAUUCCCUAAUACCUCGUGGCUCCUGAGAAACUAGGUCUCAUCAAACCUGUUAAGGAUAAGUAUAAUAAAUUAAUAGUAGAGCAAACUACUUAGAGUUAACUGCUUCAUACUUUUUCAAAAAAUCUUUUGAAUCCUUUUGCUCAUAGGAAAAUUGCAUAUGUACUAAAUUCUCAAAUUGUUUACUUUGAGUAUCUGUUGACUAAAUUGAUGUUUGAAAAUGGUUAUCUCUUCACCUAUAUAAGUAGCCUUUCAGUUGUGUAAUUUUUAAUUAUUAAAUUUUAAAGCAUCAGUAAUAUGAAAGUAUCACUUAAAUUAUUGCCUUAGGAGUGCAUAUCAUUGAAUAUCUUCUCGAUGGAUCUACCUUCAGGCUCUGGUAUCUUGAGAAACUCCUGACUAUAAAUGUUAUUCCAUAGCCAAAGGUCUUGCUUUUGCUUGUUUAAGGUACUUGCCCAGGACCCAGAUUACAGGCCUUCCUUCAGUUUGUCCACAUUUGGAGAAUUGUUUGGCAUGUUUAGGCCAAGCGCAAGAAUAAUUAGCCAAGGAUUCAGAUAAGCAGACCUGACAAAUUAUCCCAAAUGGAAGCCAGGUCUGCUCUUUUCCUCUGCCUUUUUUUUUUUUUUUUUUUUGAGAAGGAGUUUCGCUCUAGUUGUCCAGGCUUGAGUGCAAGGGUGCAAUCUCAGCUCACUGAAACCUCUGCCUCCCGGGUUCUUAGCGAUUCUCCUGCCUCAGCCUCCCAAGUAGCUGGGAUCACAGGCAUGCAACACCACACCCAGCUAAUUUUUGUAUUUUUAGUAGAGAUGGGAUUUCUCCUUGUUGGUCAGGCUGCUCUUGAACUCCCGACCUCAGAUGAUCCGCCUGCCUCGGCCUCCUGAAGUGGUGGGAUUACAGGCAUGAGCCACUGCACCCGGCCUCUGCCUUUUUAGUGCCAGAAAGCCAAAUUCUCAGGACUGAAAGCUGCACAAGAAAGUUCUAAUGACUUCAGUGUUUUGUUUGCUGAGAUUAUCGUCUGUCCAAAUAACUUUGCAUUUGCAUCACUAAUAGACUGCUUUCAAAAGGAAAAGACAUUUCAGUAGGGCUAGAACAGUCUUUAAAGUUUUGUCUGUUCCAUUUUGGCAGGGCCAAGCUAGUCCUUUUGAGAAGAGAUGAAUUUCCAUGUAAGGGCCUGAUUUGCCAUGUGGGUUACAACAUAAGUAAAACAACUGCUCACAAAGAAAAUAUUUUGUUUUUUGUAAUAUAUGCAUGUGGCCAAUUCCAGUGCCUUUUCCCCCUGUUCUAACAAUCCUCAGUUUUGCUAGAAGUAACACUAAUGAUCACACUUUCCUAGAAUCAGAGAAAGAGCUUCCCUCUUCUAUGAUUAGAAGCAUUCUUAGAAGUCAUCUAAUCUUUUUAACUCAGGAACUGCUUCUACAGCAUCUCUGCUGGAUUUGCUGCUGCUUGAAUACUUUCAAUAAAAGGUGACUCAUUGCUUCCCAAAACAACCCACCUCGUUGUGAUACAGUGCUAGUAAAUGAUCAUAAUAACUAGGAGAAAAGUAGUAAUUUCUAACAUUGCUAAGUGCUUACAAGAUACCAGGAAUGGAGCCAAGUAUUUUUCAUGUGUUAUUUCAUUUAAUUCGCACAACAACCUAAUGACAUAGGUAAUAUUAUCUCCAUUUUAUGAGGCACAGACAGAUUAAACUGCUCAAGGUAACACAGAAGGCUGAAAUUUGAACAAAGGCAGUAUGACACCAAGGCUAGAUUCUUAGCCACUAGUCUAUACUCUGCUUAUAUACAAUAUACUGUAAAAAAUUUCUCUUAUGGUAAGCCAACCUCUACCUCCCUGUAAUGUAUUUAGAGGCAAUGAUUAUUAGAUUCUGGUGGUAUUGAAUACAGAAAAGAAAAGCCACAAUGCCUUCCCUCAAGGAGUUGACAGUCUCAUAAAUAGUGUGAGAAGCACAGAGAAGGGACAUUAAUGCAGACGGGAGGAAGAUUUAGGAAUGACCCCUUGGCUGGGCGCAGUGGCUCAUGCCUGUAAUCCCAACACUUUGGGAGGCCGAGGCGGGUGGAUCACCUGAGGUCAGGAGUUCAAGACCAGCCUGGCCAACAUGGUGAAACCCCAUCUCUACUAAAAAUACAAAAAUUAGCUGGGCGCGGUGGCACGUCCCCUGUAAUCACAGCUACUCGGGAGGCUGAGGCAGGAGAAUCACUUGAGCCGGGAGGUGGAGGUUGCAGUGAGCUGAGACUGCACCAUUGCACUCCAGCCUGGGCAACAGAGGAAGCGUCCGUCUCAAAAAAAAAAAAAAAAAAAAAAAAAGGAAUAACCCUAAAGCUGAACCUUGAAAAAUGCAUAGGCAGACAAGGGAAAGUGGUGCAUGACAGGCUGGCUGCUUAGCGCCUUGAAGCACCUACCCGUUUAAGCAUCACACAGCAAGGAACACAAGAAGGCCAAGAUAGGCAGCAGUCCCCACCUGCCAGCAUGUCCAGGCCAUCCUUCUAUUGCCCCAUCCCCCAUGGGUUUCUGGCUUAGGAACCCCUUGAUCCCCUGCACAGGCUCCCAAUUUCAUCCUCGACCUCUUGUCUGACAACUCACUGGAGCCCCUUCUUUGGCCUAUUAACCUCAGCCCUCCUCAUAUAACAUAACCACCACUCACAUUUUCAGUACAUUAGCUGCUCUGGAAACAGGAUACUGAGCAAGCCUUAGCUCAAAAAAAUGCCAGAAGCAGGUCAUCCACCAGGGGAGGAAAAUCACACAGAGAGCAUGUAUGUGAAAUAAUAUGGCACAUACAACAGACAAUUGUGCUUAAAUUCUGAAGACAGAGGGAGAUGGUGGCAAUGGAGCUAAAAAAAUCAGGUUUCUUUUUUUAAUUAAAAAAUUUUUAUUUAUGGCCAGGCGCUGUGGCUCACACCUCUAAUCCCAGCACUUUGGGAGGCCGAGGCGGGUGGAUCACCUGGGGUCAGGAGUUUGAGACCAGCCUGACCAACAUGGUGAAACCCUGUCUCCACUAAAAAAAAUACAAAACUUAGCCGGGAGUGGUACCACGUGCCUGUAAUCCUAGCUAUUCCGGAGGCUGAGGCAUGAGAAUCGCUUGAACCUGGGAGGAGGAGGUUGCAGUAAGCUGAGAUUGCACCACUGCACUCCAGCCUGAGUGACAGAGUGAGAUUCUAUCAUUAAAAAAAAAUUAUUUAUGUAUUUCAUUUCUCCCCAGCUUUAAAUUGAGGCAUAAUGGGCAAAUAAAAAUUGAAUGUCUUUACAGUGUACAAUGUGAUGUUUUGAUAUAUGUAUAUGUUUUGAAAUGAUUACUACAGACCAGCUAGAAAAAUUUACUUACAAAAUUCAAACAUGCUUAAGAAAAAUUUAUACUUUUUUUAAAAAGUCAGAAACUGGCUUGUGAGGAGCUGGUUUUCAGGUGGGUUAUCAUAUGUUUAAGCUGCAGAGACUUCCAAAAGGUUAUACAGCCUUACCUAGUACAGCUCUGAACCAGGCUACCUAGGUUUAAAUCUUAUCUCUGUUCCCUGACUGAAAAACCUUGGGAAGUUAUUUAAAACUAUAGCUGUUUUGAUUAAUCAAAAAGAAAAUACAGGGAAAGGAGUGCCUGGCACUAUAGUAACCCCACAAAAUAUUAAUUAUUAUUAUUUUGAGUGUUCUUUUUUCUUUUUCUUUCUUUUUUUUUUUUUUUUGUUUGAGACAGAGUUUUGCUCUUGUUGCCCAGCCUGGAGUGCAAUGGCACAAUCUUAGCUCACCGCAACCUCCGCCUCCUGGGUUCAAGCGAUUCUCCUGCCUCAGCCUCCUGAGUAGCUGGGAUUACAGGCAUGCGCCACCAUGCCUGGCUAAUUUUGUAUUUUUAGUAGAGAUGGGGUUUGUCCAUGUUGGUCAGGCUGGUCUCAAACUCCUAACCUCAAGUGAUCCGCCCACCUCUGCCUCCCAAAGUGCUGGGAUGACGCAUGAGCCGCCGCACCCGGCCUAUUUUGGUUGUUGUAAAGACAUUCUAAAGAUGCCAGUCUUAUAAUGUCAGUUCUAAAGAUGACAGUCAUGGAGAUGGAGAUGAAGAUAUGACUUAGGAAGCAAUUACGAUAACAUAUAUAAGAGACCCUGAAUUAGGGUCUGGAGUGCUGAGAAUGGAGAAGAGAGAAAUAACACAGGAGAUAAUUGGGAGAUGGAAUGCAUAGGCUUGGGGAAGUGAGGAAGCAGGUGGAGACAUUAGUGACUUGCAGGCUUAUGGUAUAGGCAAUUGGGAGGGUCAUGAUAGCAUUUGCCAUGAUAAAGGGAACUGGUAUAAUUUGGUAGAGAGUCAAAGUAGAUGAUCUGUUUUGUAGCUAAGUUUGAAGUGCUCAACUGGAAAUAUAAAAUUAGUGAUAAAAAUGUGGAUCUGAAAUUUAGAAACAAUAUCAGGGCUAAUAUUUAGAUUUGAGGAGUCAUACUUCAGAAAAAUUUAUUGGGCAUUGAUAUGGUUUGGCUGUGUUCUCACCCAAAUCUCAUCUUGAAUUAUAGUUCCCAUAAUCCCCACGUGUGAUGGGAGGGACCUGAUGGGAGGUAAUUGAAUCAUGGGGCCAGUUUCUCCCAUGCCAUUCUCAUGAUAAUAAAGUUCUUAGAAGAUCUGAUGGUUUUAUAAGGGGCUUCUCCUUCGCUCCACUCUCAUUCUCUCUCCUGCUGCCAUGUGCAGAAGGACAUGUUUCCUUCCCUUUCUGCCAUGAUUGUAAGUUUCCUGAGGCUCCCCAGCCAUAGGGAACUGUGAGUCAAUUAAAUAUCUGUCCUUUAAAAAUUACUCAGUCUUGGGUAUGUCUUCAUAGCAGUGUGAGAAUGAACUAAUACAAGCAUUGAUCAUGUGUCAAACACUAUAUUAGAUUAUGAUGAUGCAAUAGGGCAUGGUCUCUGAACUUAAAUUGAGAAUACAGAGAAGUUCUCAGUGAAAACUUCAGAGAGGUACAGGGAAGUAGAGCCAGAAGGAAAUAUUAGAUGCCCCUGGGGCUAAUAAUUUGGCUCUUUUUCAAACCAAUAUAUGCUUUUUAAUUUUCUUUAAAUCAAUUUUUUUUUUGAGACAGGGUCUCACUUUGUUACCCAGGUUGGAGUGCAGUGGCAUGAACAUGACUCACUGCAGCCUUGGCCUCCCAGGCUCAAGAUAUCCUCCCACCUUAGCCUCCUGAGUAGCUGGAACUACAAGCACACACACCACACCUGACUAAGUUUUCUUUAUUUUUUGUAGAGAUGGUGUCCCAUGAUGUUUCCCAGGCUGGUGUCAAACUCCUGGGCUCAUGUGAUCCUCCUGUUCUGGCCUCCCAAAGUGCUAAGAUUAUAGACAUGAACUACUGUAACCAGCCUAAACCAGUAUUUUAAAAAACAGGUACUCAAUAUUUAUUUACAAAAAAGGGAGAGCUCUGCCUUGCUGUGGGUGGAGCUGGGAGUUCUCACGUGUCAACUUUCAACCACUCUUAUUCUGAGCAAUUUGGCUCAGUUCUCAGAUUUGCAUACCCCCAAUAGUGUUUCUCAAUUGAGGUUUUAUUAGCAUUUUGGGUGGAACAAUUUUUCCUUGUGUGGGACGAUCCCCAUGCAUCAUAAUAUCCCUGUCCACCCCAUGUCAAUACUGCUCCCAGCCAUACUGACAUCAACAAAAAUAGCCACACACAUUUUUGAAUGCCCAAGGUUUGGCUGGGAGGGUGGGAGUGUGAGUGGUUGGAUUGAGAAUGUUUGCUUAGCAUCUCCCUUGGGAGAACUGUCACCCACACCAAUCUGUUUAUCAAGGUAUUUAUUUCUAUCUCAUACAGUAUAUUUGCUGAGAGAAGUUCUGAUAUGUAAAAUAUUAUCUGUUUUAUUACAUUUCCAAUGUCCAAAUGAUGUUGUUUCACUGUCCUCCAUAGAUUCACAGCCAACAUUCCGCUUCCACCUGCCCCUUAUCAUAUACUUCCUGGGACUACUUAGGAGAGCACCCAAUGUAGUCUUUGUAAGUUUUAAAGUCUUCACAGAGGAAGGAACAUCUCAGCAGAUGCUUAAAAGACAAGUAGAAAAUUAGCCAGGCAAAAAGGUACACUCCACGCACACACACAAAACCUAGUUCUGUUUACGGUGAAUGUGGUAACAGAUGAGGCUGGAAUGGUAAGCAGGAACCAGUCCAUGAUGGAACAUAUAAAUUGUGUUAAAUGAUUAGGAUUUUUCUCUUUUUUUUUUUUUAACUGAGAACAAAAGGGAGCUAUUGAUGAGUUUUUGGCAUGUGAAUAACAAGAUCUUAUUUGUGACUUGGAAACAUUUCACUAGCUGCAGUAUGGAAAAUGAAUUGGAGACAGGUGGCAAGACUAGAGACAUGAUAUGAGAAUAAUCAGGAGACCUUUGCAAUGGUAUAGGUAAGAGAAAAUGGUGGCCUGAAUUAACAUCUGGAGUGCAUAUCAACAUACAGUGAUGGUAGUAUUUGAAAUUGUGGGUUGAGAUUAAUUCUCAUAGGGAAAAUGUAUGGAAUAGGCAGAAAAUGGGUUCCUACAAAACCCCAACAUUUAGGGUGUGAGCAAAGUAAGGGAAUUUAGCAAAAAAGGCCAAAGAGGUGGGACCCAGUGUGAUAUGUGGUAAUGGAAUUGUGUGGCACCUAUUGGAAUGAACAGUCAGGUUUCCCUCCAGGGAGGUACCGGCCGUAUGGGCUGUGAUUAGCUGACAGCCUCCCACCACCAUGCCUUUGGGAUCUAUCACAGCAUUUACACAGAGGUCUCCCUCUCUCUAGAUCCUCCCAGCCAAUGCCUGAGCAUGGCUAUUGCUUUCCAAUGUAGUUUCUUCCGAUGGGCAGUCUUUGCUCUGGGGUCCCCAUUGGCCUAAUUGAGCCUUUCUCAGAGCCGCCACGCAGAUAGACUCUACCCAAUUCUUCCUUCUCCUAUUCCCUUUAUGGUAUUAAGAUGUGGUAUUAAGAUGUGGAUUGCAAUCUGACAUUCUUCCCUCCUACUGCUACUUUUCCUCUUUAUCCUUCACAAGUGUUUUCACAGAUUUCUUGCACUUCAAUUCAAUCUUACUAUCUACUGAAGUAGUACAAAUUGUAUCAAUGAAACAAAAGAGGAAAUUUUAAGGAGAGUGGAUCAACACUGUUAAAUACCAAAGAGAGACUGGGAAAGAGGGGGACAGAAAAGUAUCGUUAGUUGUCAUUAUGGAGAUCAAUGCUAACCUUAACUAUCAAAGUUCGUAUUUUCUCUUCUGCUAUUGUGUCUCCUCUUAGUUAUAUUCUCCCAAAUCCCCUUCAGCCUUUCUCAUACAUCAUGAACUCUAUACAUCUCAUCUGGACCCCUUCGUAUGGACACAUUUAACUUGUUAAUAUCUUUCAGAGUAAACUCUGGCAAAGAAUUGAGCUCAGUAUUCCAAAUGCAGUCUGGUCACUGUUUACUAUGGGGGGAUUGUAACUACCUAUUACUGGAACGCUUUAUUAUAGCCUAAACUUUUAUCCAAUUUUUUUAUAGCCCAACAAACUCAGGGUCACUGUACUGCUCGAUUCUGGGAGAUGCCAUUCAUACUGUUAUCUAUAAUUCUAAAAUCCUCAACCCCUACCUGGCCCCUUGGUCCUGAUGAAGAAAAAUCUCCAAAAAUCAUAUUUGCCCUCCUCUAAGAUCAUCACAAGUGUUCUUGAACCCACACUGUCAUAAAGUGUCAGGGACAAGAAACCUGGUCUCAAGCAUCUCACUGUGAAGUUUCUGCCCUGACAUCAAUCUAACAGGCUAGAUGUUAUCUUCUCAUCCCCAGGCAAAUAUAACACCAACAACAACAAAACCGAGCACCCAGUACCUGUAUGUUAUAUUGCUACCAGGUGAGAUCUUGAAAACACAAAAGAAUUAUCUAGACGAGAAUCUUUCAUCUUCUUGGGAAGCCAAGAUUUUAAAUGAUAUCUUUUCAGACUCAUUCAGUCCUGGAGGGUACAGGCUACAUCAAAAAUAGGCAAUAAAAUCUGGUCCUGUACCGUAUGACAACAUUUCAGUCAACAACAGGCUGCAUAUAUGACAGUGGUCCCAUAAGAUUAUAAUGGAGCUGAAAAAUUCCUAUUGUCUACUGAUAUCAUAGCUGGUGUAAUAUAGUAGUGCAACACAUUACUCACAUAUUUGUAGUGAUGCUGGUGUAAAACCUACUGUGCUGCCAGUCAUGUCAGCAUUCAGUGCAUAUAAUUAUGGGUAGUACAUAAUACUCGAUAAUGAUAAUAUAUGACUGUUAUUGGUUUAUGUAUUUACUAUAUUAUUUAUCCUUAUUUUAGAGUGUAUUCCUCCUACUUAUUUAAAAAAAAAAGUUAACUGUAAAGGAGCCUCAGGCAGGUCCUUCAGGAGGUAUCCAGAAGAAGGCAUUGUUAUCAUAAGAUAUGACAGGUCCAUGUGUGUUAUUGUCCCUAAAGAUUUUCCAGUGGGGUCCGGGCAUGGAGGCAUAUGCCUCUAAUCCCAGCACUUUGGGAGGCUGACGCAGGAGGAUUGCUUGAGCCUAGGCAUUCAAGACCAGGCUGGGCAACAUAGCGAGAUCUUGUCUCAAAAAAGUUUUUUAAAAAACCUUCCAGUGGGACAAGAUGUGAAGAUGGAAGACAGUUAUAUUGAUGAUCCUGACCCUUUAUAAGCCUAGGCCAAUGUACGUGUUUCUGUGUUGGUUUUUAACAAAAGUAUUUUAAAAGUAAAAAAAAAGAAUUGAAAAAAUUAAAAAAUACAAAAAUGCUUGUAGAAUAAGUAUAUAAAGAAAGAAAAGACUGAACAUGGUGGGAUGCAUCUGUAAUCCCAGCUACAUGGGAGGCUGAGGCAGAAGGAUCAUUGGAGUCCACGAGUUCAAGACUAGCCCUAAAAGAAAAUAUUUUUGUACAGCUAUAUCAUGUGUAUGUUUUAAGCCAAGUGUUAUUACGAGUUAACUUUUUUUUUUUUAAUUUAAAAGUAUAUAAAGAGGUAGUGGCUCACUCCCGUAAUCUCUGCAUUUUGGGAAGCUGAGAUAGGAGGACUGCUUGAGCCCAGGAGUUUAAGACCAGCCUGGGCAACACAGGGAGACCCCAUGUCUAUAAAAAAUUUAAAAAAAAUUAACCAGGCCUGGUAGUGCAUGCCUGUGGUCCCAGCUAUUCAGGAAGUUGAGGUGGGAGGAUCACUCAAGUCUAGGAGGUUGAGGCUGCAGUGAGCUGUGAUUGUGCCACUGCACUCCAGCCUGGGUGACAGAGCAAGACCCUGCCUCAAAAAAUAAACAAAUAAAAUUGCAGUAAACUAAGAUUAAUCUAUUAUUGAAAAAAAUUGUGUAAAUUUAGUAUAGCCUAAGUAUACAGUGUUUAUAAAGUCUACAGUAGUAUACAGUAAUGUCCUAGGCCUUCACAUUCACUCACUACUCACUCACUGACUCACCCAGAGCAACUUCCAGUCCUGCAAGCUCUAUUCAUGGGAAGUGUCCUAUAUAAGGGUACCAUUUUUUAAUCUUUCAUAUUGUGUUUUUCACUAUGUCUUUUCCAUGUUGAGAUACACAAAUACUUACCAUUGUGUAACAAUUGCCUACAGUAUUCAAUACAGCAACAGGCAGUACAGUUUUGUGGCUUAGGAGCAUUAGGCUACACCAUAUAGCCUAGAUGUGAGGUAGGCUCUAUCCUCUAGGUUUGUGUAAGUGCACUCUAUGAUUUUCAUACAACAGCGAAAUCACCCAGUGACACAUUUCUCAGAAUGUAUCCCUGUCAUUGAGCGAUGCAUGACUGUACUGAAGAACGCUAAGGAAGUACACGCUGCUAAGGGACAGACCGAGGGAUGGUUGAGAUCAUUUUUUUAAUAAAAUCUUCCUUAUAUUUAUCUGUUAUCCCAUGAUAUAUUAGAGCAUAGUGUUUCCCUGAUUCCAUCUUACAUAACAUCCAGCCUAGAAUUCCCCUCAGAUGCCUCUGGUUAAGAGGUGUUGCCCUGUGUCCUAGUUCCCAAAUACAGAGCGCUGUUGGGCCAGACCGACCUGGCCCAGAACAAAUAUAGUCACAUACAUUGUGUUUGCAGAGUUGCUCACUGCCCCAGAGUCAUAUCCUGCUGGCCUUUUCACUAGAAGCUUUAUUGUACGUUAUUAUUUUCUCCUAGGAGGACUUCACCCCUGCACAACAAAACCUGUAUAAUAGUAAAGCAAAUCUAUUUGUAGAUUUAGAAAGUUCAUCUUUUUUGAAAAAAAUCAUCCACUAAUUUGGUUUAAACCUGGAUUGGAGUUUUUCUUUCUCAAAACAGAUUAAAACUGGAAAUAAAAGCUCAGUUAAGGCCGGGGAUGGUGGCUCACGCCUGUAAUUCCAACACUUUGGGAGGCCAAGGCAGGCAGAUCACAAGGUCGGAGCUCGAGACCAGCCUGACCAACAUUGUGAAACCCCGUCUCUACUAAAAAUACAAAAAUUAGCAGGGUGUGGUGGCGCGUGACUGUAAUCCCAGCUACUCAGGAGGCUGAGGCAGGAGAAUCACUUGAACCUGGGAGGCGGAGGUUGCAGUGAGCCAAGAUCCUGCCAUUGCACUCCAGCCUGAGCUACAGAGCGAGACUCUGCCUCAAAAAAAAAAAAAAAAAAAAAAAAUCAAAACAGCCGGGCACGGUGGCUCACGCCUGUAAUCCCAGCAUAUUGGGAGGCCAAGACGGGCGGAUCACGAGGUCAGGAGAUUGAGACCAUCCUGGCUAACACGGUGAAACCUUGUCUCCGCUAAAAAUACAAAAAGAAAGCUGGACAUGGUGGCGGGCGCCUGUAGUCCCCAGCUACUCGGGAGGCUGACGCAGGAGAAUGGUGUGAACCCAGGAGGCGGAGCUUGCAGGGAGCCGAGAUCGCGCCACUGCACUCCAGCCUAGGCGACAGAGCGAGACUCCGUCUCAAAAACAAACAAACAAACAAAAAACUCAGUUAAGGCUGGGCGCGGUGGCUCACGCCUGUAAUCCCAGCUCUUUGGGAGGCCGAGGCGGGCGGAUCACGAGGUCAGGAGAUCGAGACCACAGUGAAACCCCCUCUCUACUAAAAAUACCAAAAAUUAACCGGGCGCGGUGGCAGGCGCCUGUAGUCCCAGCUACUCAGGAGGCUGAGGCAGGAGAAUGGCGUGAACCCAGGAGGCGGAGGUUGCAGUGAGCCGAGAUUGCGCCACUGCACUCCAGCCUGGGGGGACAGAGCGAGACUCCGUCUCAAAACAAAACAAAACAAAACAAAAAAAAAAACAGUUAAAAUAGUUCGAAUACCAGUUUUCCAUUACUCCUAUUCCCUGCUCACAGUUCAAGGUCAAUGGGAAGAUAACUCUUUUCUCAAACUGACCCAGAUCUCUGCACCGGGAAACAGAUCCGUUUGCUGGGUCUGAGCUAAUGGCAAAGCCUGUCUAAAUCAAGGUAUGCCUCUUCUUCUUCUUCUUCUUUUUUUUUUGAGACGGAGUCUCACUCUGUUGCCAGGCUGAAGUGCUAUGGCUCGAUCUCGGCUCACUGCAACCUCCACCUCCCGGGUUCAAGCGAUUCCUCUGCCUCAGCUGGGACUACAGGCGCGUGCCACAAUGCCUGGCUAAUUUUUUGUAUUUUAGUAGACACAGGGUUUCACCAUGUUGUCCAGGAUGGACUCAAUCUCCUGACGUCGUGAUCCACCUGCCUCGGCCUCCCAAAGUGUUGGGAUUAUAGGCGUGAGCCACCGUGCCCGGCCAAGGCAUGCCUCUUCUUAGUAUUUGAGCCAGACCUUCAGCCUGGGAUCAUAUCGUCUGGGUUACUUACAGAUACUUUAAAAAUAUAUGAAUCUUUUUUUUUUUGAAACAGAGUUUUCUUCUUGUUGCCCGGGCUGGAGUGCAGUGGCGCGAUCUCGGCUCACUGCAACCUCCACCUCCCGGGUCCAAGCAAUUCUCCUACCUCAGCCUCCUAAGUAGCUCGGAUUAUAGGCACGCGCCACCAUGCCCAGCUAAUUUUUUGUAUUUUUAGUAGAGACAGGGUUUCAUCAUGUUGGCCAGGCUGGUUUUGAACUCCCGACCUAAAGUGAUCCACUUUCCUCAGCCUCCCAAAGUGCAGGGAUUACAAGUGUGAGCCACCGUGCCCGGCCAAAAAAAUAUAUCUUUACAUUAGUAGUUAAACAUAAAUUAGUAGUUAAAUUGUAGUAUGACCUCUCUCAGCUAGGCAUUUGAUGCUAUCAGGAUAGUUUUAACAUGUGGUGAUGGAAUAAUUGUUUUCCUUGUAAAAGAAACAAAAGGAAGGAAAUUCAUGAAAGUUUCCCCACCACUUUGUAUUUUAUUUACAAAUGGUUAAACUUGUAAAUGAAAUUUGUGAAUAGCCUCUUUCAAAUUUAAGCGUGGAGCUUCUUAUGGUCAGUCUGUGUCUAUCUCAAUGUCUGGAAAUGUUUGUAUGAAACUGUACUGCCUAAAAGCAUAACACUUUUUCAUUGCUGAUGCCAGUAUUUAGGGUUUAUGUAUCCUCUCACCUAAGGAGAGCAUUAUUCUGUCAUUCCACAUAAACUCAAAACACCUAUCUGCAAAUCUGAGUGCACUCUGUUGUCUGCUAUAUGGUGUGCAAGCUCUUAAUUAGUCUCUCUUGCCCCAGUCUCUUCCUCUUCUUAUGAUAGCACACCUGGCCAAUAAACAUGCUUCCAGAAUGCCAACAAUGGAAAUAUGGAAGUUCCGAGGUGAAGCUAAAUUUGGAAUAAAUGUGAGUUUACAUUUAGACAUGUUGACUUUGAGGAAAUAAGAGGGCAUUCAAGGAGGAGCUAUUACAAGGAUAAUGACAGAUUCUGAAUACGAAGUAUAAGAGGGUAAAUUGAGCCAUACAAAUAGAGACCAUAGAUGGAGUCAUGAGAUUUAUGAAUGGGGUCUGAGGGUGUAGAGCAAUGUGAGCAACCUUCUUUCUUUCUUCUUCUUUUUUUUCUUUUUAAACAAGGGGCUCUUAAAAGUAACAGAGGUGGGUGGACCUUAUUUUUGUAAACAUUGAAAGUGAAAAUAAUGUCACUGAAUUCAAUGACAAAAAUGUGUGCUUUAGGAUGAUUUCAUGAAGUAUGACUAUUCUUCCUCCAGGCAAGUGUUUUCUGGCAUUUCCUUGGUACAUAUCUGGCGUGGGAUUUAAGGGAUGGAUAGUGGAGGUCCAAGUGGAGAACUGAGAGAAGAAGGGGAACCAGAGAAGAGCUGUCAACUUUCAAAAUGUUGGAAGAAGGAAGAAGGGAGAAAAUAAGCAAAAGUUCAGCAAACUGAGUACUUGUGAAAGAGAUUGUGGAUUUAUGUUUGAGGACUAAAGAGAAUAGAAUAGAACUCAAGUGUGGCUUUACAAAAUGAAUGGGUUCCUCUUUGAUGUUUUUUUUUUCAGAGUUGGAAGUAAAGGUUAGAAUACCUUUUUAAAAUUACUGUGUAUCUUGGCUGGGAGUGGUGGCUCAUGCCUGUAAUCCCAGCACUUUGGUAGGCCGAGGCAGGCGAUCACCUGAGGUCAGGAGUUUGAGACCAGCCUGGCCAACGUGGCGAAACCCCGUCUCUACUAAAAAUACAAAAAUUAGCUGGGUGUGGUGGCAUGUGCCUGUAAUCCUAGCUACUUGGGAGGCUGAGGCAGGAGACUUGCUUGAACCUGGGAGGCAGAGGUUGCAGUGAGCCGAGAUUGCACCACUGCACUCCAGUCUGGGCAACAGAGUGAGACUCUGUCUCAAAAAUCAAUCAAUCAAUCAAUCAAUAAAAAUAAAACAAAAUAACUACAUAUCUCUAUAUGUGGCUCUGAGCAGAGUCUCAGGCAUGUGAGACUCCAGGAUUUAUUAGGGCUACAAGAAGAAUGCCAAUGAGAAACUUGGCAAUGCUUCUUUGAACAACUAAAAUGUUAUCUGGUCAUAUCUAAGAUGUCACAACACAGAAGCAGCUUUCUAAUCUUUUAUAACUUAAUUUGCAUGGCUCUUUAGAGUUUAUAAAUGUCUUCACAUUUAUAUCUUAUUUUAUCUUUGGAAUGACUUCCUGAAUUAUUAUCAUCCAUAAUUUAUAAAUGGAGAAAUUGAAGCUUAGAGAAGUAAACUAGAAGCAUAUCAGAGUUUAUAAUUAGUUCCAGUCAAUUUAACAUCUACUGAGCCUUGAUCUGAGUUUCAGGUUGUACUAGAUACUGGGGAUGCAAAAGUUAAUAAAAUGUGCAACCAGUCCUCAACCAUUACACCAUUACUUUCUUUGCUUUUCCCAAAUUCUCUCCCAGAGGUUUGAUAUCCACCCUUCCCUUGGGUUGGGCCGGUUCAUAGUGAGAUACAAUACUGAGCGUCACCUACACAAACACCAGCUUAUAGAAAGUAUUGGCUCCAGGGUACUCUGGAAGUUCCACACCUAUGAUGUAGUUAGCAGAAUUGCAAAAGUGGUUCAUGCCUGUAAUCCCUAUGCUUUCGGAGGCCAAGUCAGGAGGAUCGCUUGAGGCCAGAAGUUUAAGGCUAUAGUGAGCCAUUAGUUGUGCCACUGUACUCCUGAGCGAGACCCUGUAUCUAAAAAUGAAAAAUAAAAACAAUUGCAAAGGUAAAGAAGAUCAGGGAACUCUUAUACAACCACAUUAGAAGGCAAUUCAGCAAAAUCUAAUAAGCUAAAGAUAUCUUUAUCUUACAAUCUAGCAAUUUCACUUCUCCGUGUAGAAACUCUCCCUUAAACAUACAAGGAGAUGGGUAAAUGAAUGUUCAUUGAAGUAUCAUGUAUAACAGAAAAAUAAUUGGAAAUGAUGUAAGUUUCCAUCCACCUGAGAAUGGAUAAGUAAAUUGUUUUGUGAUCACACAGUGAAAUACUACGGAUUAGUUAAAAUGAAUGAACUAGAACUGGAACUAAAAUAUGCAUAAAUCUCAAAAAAUGUAAUACUGAGUGAUAAAGUAGCAGAAAAUACAUAAAGUAUGCUACUGAUUACACUAAGUUUAAACACAUGAAAAUACUAGAUAUUUCUAUGUAUGAUAGGCAUUUUAGAAUAUCCAUGGUAAUAAUAAAAAAGUCAUAUUCAAGAUAGUUGUUAUAUCCUGUUGAGGAAAAAAAGAUUAUCAUAUAGCGUGCAGAAGGCUUUAGCUGAUUCACUUCAAAAAAAAGAAUCUGAAGCAAAUAUUACACAAGUUAAUACUUGACAAAGGUGAGUAGGGAGAAAAAAAGAGGUUGUUAUUACUUUCUGUAUGUUGAUGCUUGAAAUAUUUCAUUUAAAGAUGUAUAUGGCUCCUAGACUUUGGAAUUCUUGGCUUUUGUGAUUUUUUUUAUGUGUGUGUGUGUGCAGGAUUUUCUUUUUUUUCCUCUUCCCAUGUUGAAAUUCCAUCCAUUCUUUGAUAACUAGCUUGUCUCACCAGCUUAUUGAGAAUUUCCAUGAUGGCUUUGUCAGUUCACAGUGUGUUCUCACUUUUUUUUUGGAUUUAUUUAUUUAUUUAUUUAGAGAUAGGGUCCCGUUCUGUCACCCAGGCUGGAGUGCAGUGGUACAAUUAUAGCUCACUGCAGCCUCAAACUCCUGGGCUCAAGUGAUCCUCCUGCCUCAGCUUCUCAAGUAGGCAGACUACAUGCACAUACUACCAUGCCUGGCUAAUUAAAAAUUUUAUUUAUUUAUUUUUUUUAUAGAGGCAGAGUCUUGCUUUGUUGUCCAGGCUGGUCUUGAACUUCUGAGCUCAAGUGAUCCUCCCGCCUUGGCCUCCCAAAGUGCUGAGACUACAGAGAGAGAAUGCUAACGAGCUGUGAAAUGACCAAAGAUCUGGCAGCAGAAGGGAAAAGAAAAAAUAAUGGAAUAUUUUCUGUCUACAAUUGGUUGAAUCUGUGGAUGUGGAAACUGCAGAUACAGAUGGAGAGCCGACUAUACUAGCUUUUUGUUUCAUUUUUCACUUCUGGUGUGUGUGUGUGUGUGUGUGUGUGUGUGUGUGUGUGUGUAUCUGUGUGUGUGUUUUAUUAAUCUCUGUGCCUGCAUGUUAGUUUCUUCCUCUUUAUUUGGAUUUUCACUAACAUUCUUUUCAGCUUCUUCAGUUGGAUACUUGUUGCCAAUAUAUUUUUUUUCAUUCUAAGAAUUAAAUAAAUGGGCCAGGCGUGGUGGCUCAUGCCUGUAAUCCCAGCACUUUGGGAGGCCAAGAUGGGUGGAUCACAAGGUCAGGUGUUUGAGACCAGCUUGGCCAAAGCUGGUGAAACUCCAUCUCUACUAAAAAUACAAAAAUUAGCUGGGCAUGGUGGUGCGCGUCUAUAAUCCCAGCUACUCAGGAAGCUGAGGCAGGAGAAUCACUUGCACCCAAGAAGUGGAGGUUGCAGUGAGCCAAGAUUGCGCCAUUGCACCCCAGCCUGGGCAACACAGCGAGACUCCAUCUGAAAAAAAAAAAAAAGAAUAAAUGAAUGUAUUAAUCACCAAACUGCUCUUCAUCAGAAACUCUUAGCAGUGGUAUGUUGAGGUCUCCCUGCCUACCGUAUAUGUCUCUUAACUCUGCGGGUGCAAUAUUUUGUCAUGGGUCAGUUUAGCAAUAUUGUACUAUUUCCCAAUUUUCUAAGUGUGUUCAUUUCAGAGUUUAUCCUAUUCAUUGUUCUUUCUUUCUUUUAAAAAUUUCUAUGACUGAGCUGGACAUGGUAGCUCACACCUGUAAUCCUAGCACUUUGGGAGGCUGAGGAGAGUGGAUCACCUGAGGUCAGGAGUUCCAAACCAGCCUGGCCAACAUAGUGAAACCCUGUGUCUACUAAAAAUACAAAAAAUUAGCUGGCCAUGGUGGCAGGCGCCUGUAAUCCCGGCUACUAGGGAGGCUGAGGCAGGAGAAUCUCUUGAAUCCAUGAGGCGGAGGUUGCGGUGAGCCAAGAUCAUGCCAUUGCACUCCAGCCUGGGCACCAAGAGUGAAACUCUGUCUCAAAACAAAAAAAAACUUUUCUAUGACUGUAUUUUUAAUUCUCAGGAUUUUAAUUUGUUAUUCUUCAUAAUCAUAGCUAUUUUAUUUCUGACGGUUCGUGCUUCAUAAUUUUUAUGAAUGUUAUUCCUCUGCUUAAUUCCUUUGAAAGUCUUGAACAAAUUCUUUUUAAAGAAGUAAUUUUCAGAUACUCUAGUAUUUUGUUUUUACCUGGUGUGAAUGCUUCUCCAUGUUGUGGUUUCUAUUUUUGGCAGUCUUUCUUAUUUCUCUCCCUCUCUCCUUUUCUCUGUUCCUUCUUCUCUUCCUUCAUUCCUUCCUUCCUGUCCCCCUAGGCUUAACCUUCCUGGUCUCAUAGUUUUGCCGUUACCUACUUUCUGGGCCUCCCAGGCCUAGACCUCGGUUUUAUCCUAUAGUAUUGUAGAUCCAGUUCCUUCUCUAGGGUCAAAUUCCGUCUUUAAGACUAUGCCUGGUUCUUCCAUGUCCCUAGGUAUACAGAUGUUUACAAGCCUGUAGCCCUAGGCAAUUCCUUUCAAGGGGGUAGCCUUAUCCCAGCCCUUGAUUUCAUGUGAGUCUUCUGCCUCACAUGGGUUAUUUAGUUCUUAGUACCCUGUAUGAGUCUUGCCCCUGGAUGCCUCUGUUUGCUGUUGGCAGAAUUGAGCUGGUCUACAUCUUCAGGCUACUUACCAUAUUGUUUCUGUUCCAUUUCUGGGCUAUGGAGAUGUUUUUAAGUGUGAAAAUGCCUUACAUUUUUCCCAUUUUAUAUUAAAUCUAUUAUCACUAUCAUUUUGGAUUGGCGUGGUCCUCAAAGCCCCAUCUUGACUAGAAAUCAACUAGCAUUUGCUUCUCUGCAGUUCGUAAUCUAGCUUCCUCUCUCACCUUUCUCUUGGCAAUUGCCCUCUCUGAAGUCACUGCUGUUGUUUCCGAGUCACUGAAUGAAACCGUUUUUCCUUCAGCCCCCAUUUUCCUUCACUCCUCUGCAGCAUCCAGCAGUGUUGACUGCUCUUCCUUUUACCUCUCUCCUGUUGGCUGUUAGGAUGCUCUGCUGUCCCGGAUCACUACCUCUUCUGAUGCUUCCAGUUUUUAAACUGCUUUCACUUUUUCUUCCCCUUUUGUAACUGUGGAUGUCCCACAAGGCCAAGUCCUUGGUGCUCUGGUUUUACCCUCUAUUUCAGCUAAUUUUGCUUAUUCUCAUCUUUGGUCAUUGCUAAGUCCCUAUCUGUUCACCAGGGCUUCCCCCUCCCCUGAGUUCUAAGCUACAGAUCUGCUUGUGACACGUUCCACUUGAUGCCCUGCUGUUCCAUCAAAUUUCCUCCCCUUUAAUCCUCCCAAAUGCCAUUACAGAUAUCAUUAUUCUUAGAUGGAGUCUUGCUCCGUUGCCCAGGCUGGAGUAUAGUGGUGUGAUCUCGGCUCACUGCAACCUUCACCUCCUGUGUUCAAGUGAUUCUCCUGCUUCAGCCUCCUGAGUAGCUGGGAUUACAGGCAUGCACCACCACACCAGAGUAAUUUUUGUAUUUUUUGUGGAGAUGGGGUUUCACCAUGUUGGCCAGGCUGGUCUCAAACUCCUGACCUCAAGUGAUCCUCCCACCUCAGCCUCCCAAAGUGCUGUGAUUACAGAAGUGAGCCACCAUGCCCAGCCUGUUAUAGAUAUCAUCUUUCCCUUAGUUUCUAAGGCUCAGAAUCAUACCCUUCCUUGAUUCCUCAUAUUUUCUCCAGAGUCAGUUAAUUAUACAUCCUAUCCAUCCUCUUUCCUGUCAUUUCCUCUUUUUGCCAUUGCACGGCUCACACACCUGCUAUGGUCCCUUGUUAUUUCUUCUUUUGGACCAUUUUGGUAUUCUUCCAGAGAAGCAGGACAGUUAAAUGUGGCAAUAUUUGGACUCAUUUGUGUUCAAAAUUUGUGAUAUGGAUUCUUCCCACAUCCCCUGCCCCAAUAACAAAACUUACCUUAUAAAUAUUCACAGCUUUCUUUGCUGCCCUCUCUCUGACACCAAGGAGGAAGAAUUCUCUGAUGAAUGAGCAAAGUUUAAAGACUUUGUGUUUAUGUGUUCUGGGUAAUGGAUUUACUUUAGAAGAGCAAGAAACUGUUCAAAAGAAAAGAAUUUAAUUGAGCUGAAACCUAAAGGAUGAGUAGGGACUCUCAGGACAACCCAGGGAAGGAUGGAGUUGUAUUCCAGAUAGAGGGGUGGUAUGGUUUGGAACUGUGUCCCCACCAAAUCUCAUGUCGAAUUGUAAUCCCCAGUGUUGGCGGUGGAGCCUGGCAGGAAGUGACAAGAUCAUGGGGACGUAUUUCUCAUGAAUGGUUUAGCACUAUCGUGUUGGUGCUGUUCUUAUGAUAGUGAGUUCUUGCAAGAUCUGGUUGUUUCAAAGUACGUGGCACUUCCCCCCUUCGCUCUCUCUCUUGCCGUCACUCUAGUCAUGUGAGAUGUGUGCUUCUCCUUCACCUUCCACCAUGACUGUAAGUUUCCUGAGGCCUCCCCAGAAACCAAGAAGAUGACAGCAUCAUGCUUCCUGUAUAGCACAAAGAACUGCGAGCUAGUUAAACCUCUUUUCUUUUUAAAUUACCCUGUCUCAGGUAUUUAUAGCAAUGUGAGAAUGGACUAAUACAAGGGGGAAGCACAAGCAAAGACAGAAGGAAAAUACAACAGGGUGUCUGUGAGUGUGUGUGCACAUUUGUGUGUGCAUGUGGCGGGGUCUACAAAGAGUCACUGUGAACCAGGGAGUGGGGAGUGCUGAGAAUGGACAGAAAAGAUUCAUGUGCCCAGUUGAGAAAUAUAAUUUGAGGAGUCACAGAAGUAUUGUUAAGUGAGAGUUGAGAUCGCAUGGCCACGUUCGUCGCCAGGUUUCUAACUUUGGAUGGCAUCUUUCACCACGCAGGACUCAAUGGGGAGGAAGCAGGGGUAUGGGUUGAGGAUUCUGAUGAGACUGUCACUACUACUCUUUCUUGCUUCAUUAGUGUUGUUUGUGACACCCAGAAGAGCUGAAGGGGGCAUCUUUGUGGGGAAGGAGUAGAAGGGUAGCCCUCAGAAAGGGGGUUCCUGGGAUAGUCAGAAUGUGUUUACCAGGAAGAGAGGCAGAAUUAAGGGGCUGGCAACAUAGCUGGGAAGUUGACUGCAUGGGUUGUCAUAUCUAAAAGAGAUUUCAAAGAUGGAAACAGGAGCAUGGGCGAAGUUGAGAUCUCAGCCCCCUCAUUUUACUGUUCCCCUACUUGUGAAAUUCAUUUUAGUUCUUCAGGGCCCAUCUGAAAUGCCAGCUUCUCUCUGAAGGUUUUCCUUUAGACCUUGGCUGGAAGAUAUCUCUUUCUCUUUGGAAACUCUAUAACUUGUGGUUUGCAAGUAUUUUAUGGCUUUGUAUUCCCCCUUAUGUGUAAGAUCCUUGAAGAUUGUUUUGCAUAUCUUUGUAUCUCCUCCACCACCUGAGACUCUCUGCUGUGUGUAGGAUCUCUGCUGAAGAAAUCAUAAUGGAACUGAAUCUGUACUUUCACAGGAAAAGUACAUGCUACAGGAUUUAAUAAAUAUGAAUCUUACAUAAGGAAAUAGCUCAAGGAAUUUGAAUAUUUCAAAGCUCUAUCCAUAUAAAGCCUGAAUAAUUCAUGCAAAUAUUUGAAGAAAAGAACAAAAGCUUAUCUAAUAUUUCAGUACACUGCUCUUUAUUUUGGUCCAUAAAAGGAGAUCUUGUGCUUAGUUUUGGUGGUAAACUCAGCUUUAGCAGCUUUGAAAUGCAGAUUAGAUCAAUUACAUCACAAUUAUAUUUGAAAAUUGAAAAACAGCAUUAUCCAAAAGUCAAAUUCCAAAUUUAUGCCUUUUCAAAGGAAGUGUCAUUUGGAAAGAAACUGAUUCACACCAUGAAAUAUGUGGCAUUUCUUUUGGUUUCCAGUCUCUUCUAUAGUAGUAGAAGGCUCAUGUGAUAUGCAGACAUGUGCUUAAUCAAAUUUAGCUUUCCUUUUCAAGUUAAGAAAAUGUAUAUGAAGUAUUUCUGAGAUAAAAAGAGGCACAGUCUUUUUUUUUUUUUUUUUAGCACAAACAUCUCCUAUGCUGCUGCAUUUGUCUUAAUUCCUUAUUUGAAAAUUUGGCUUUGUUUAUGUAAUGUACAAAUUCCUAUUCACUUAAAACAGGACCAGAAUAGCCUGGAACCCUAUAGAGCUAAAUGAUAUUUUAGAGUGCUGAUCCUCAUUUUCUCUUCGGUAAAGAACACAACACGAUUAUUUGUAUUUAUCUUGUCGUACACACACUCAGGAUUACUCACUGAGGAAUGGGGCUCAAGUUUGGUUGCAAGACUUCCAUUUACUAGGCUGUGUGAUGUUGAGCAAGUCACUUAAUCUCUGAGGUAAAAUGAGGGGCCUGUUGCCUAAAAUUCCGUGCUUCUGUAAUUUAAGUAUAAUUGACCCAGAUGUUUGAUGAUUACUUUGAAAAUUGAAAAAAGAUGCUAGUGGCCAUAAGAAAUUUGUACCACUGUGCCCCGAGUAGUGCUUCUGAAAUAGUAACACAGGGAGAAGGUUGGGAGGCCCCUUCUUUGUCAUUUACAUAGGGUUUGUUUGUCUGAAGUAGCAGAUGCCAAGUGUUAGGGGUCCAAAGAUGCUACCAGAAUUAGAGGAGAUGGAGAAAAGGCUAACGGAAUUUUCUUAAUUCGAAAAAAAAAAAAAAGGCCAGGCGCGGUGGCUUACGCCUGUAAUCCCAGCACUCUGGAAGGCUGAGGCGGGAGGAUCACCUGAAGUCAGAAGUUCAAGACCAGCCUGGCCAUGGUGAAACCCCGUCUCUACUAAAAAUGCAUAAAAUUAGCCGGGCAUGGUGGUGCGCGCCUGUAAUCCCAGCUACUGGGGAGGCUGAGGCAGGAGAAUCGCUUGAACCUGGGAGGUGGAGGUUGCAGUGAGCCGAGAUGGCUCCAUUGCACUCCAGCCUCGGCAACAAGAGGGAAACUCCAUCUCAAAAAAAACAAAAAACAACAACAAUAAAAAACCCAAAGCAAAACAGAAAUGAGUUUCUAAUUGUAUUGCAAAUUACUUGCAGGACUGAAAAUGAUUGAACUGUCACACAUUUCUACAUUAAUAAGCACUAUCCAAAAGAAUCAGUUACAACAGAGUAAUUUACCAAGAUUAAUCUUUAAAAAGAAUCUCAUUUUUAAGAGCUCAUUUUCAGGGUUGUAGAUAUAUAUAUAUAUAUAUAUAUAUAUAUAUAUUUUUUUUUUUUUUUAAACGAGGUUUCGCUCUUGUUGUUCAGGCUGGAGUGCAAUGGUGCGAACUCGGCUCACCGCAACCUCUGCUUCCCGGGUUCAAGCGAUUAUCCUGCCUCAGCCUCCGAAGUAGCUGGGAUUACAGGCACACACCACAUUGCCCGGCUAAUUUUGUAUUUUUAGUAGAUGGGGUUUCUCCAUGUUGGUCAGGCUGGUCUCACACUCCCGACCUCAGGUGAUCUGCUCGCCUUGGCCUCCCAAAGUGCCGAGAUUACAGGCUUCAGCCACCGGCGCCUGGCUGGUUAUAGCUUUUUAAAACAAUUUGCUUAUUGUUUCUUAGUUUGUAGAAAGUUUCUCUUGGAGAUUUGUGAAGGAAAUACAUGUGAUCGCUUUUGUGAUGUGUUCAGAUGGAAAGAAAAUCUAACUUUCAUAAGAAAAAUUGUAUCACACUAGAUGCAGGAAAAAAAUAGAUAUUCGAAGAACCACAUACCAGAUGCAGAUGAAAUGUAAUGUAUAAAGACUAUUUUUAUAAUGAUUUUUUAAAUUUAGAUUUUUACAAUAUGGAUUUUAAAAUUUUAUUUCACUUUUAAUUGACUAAUUUUAUACAUUUAUAAGGUACAAUAUGUUGUUUCAAUACAUGUAUACAUUGCAAAAUGAUCAAAUCAGGCUAAUUAACAUAUCUAUCACCUUACAUUCUUAUUAUUUCUUUGUAGUGAGAAUAUCUAAAAUUGAAAUACAGUCCUUUUUAUUGUAACUGAGAGAAACAAGAGCAAUGUAUAUGUGGUAGAAUUUAAAAGUCAUAUGUGUAUAUUUAUAUAUGUACAUCUACGUACAAUUGCCUGUGUACAUAUAAUUAUCUGCUAUAUAUUAUGCAUAUGUAAUACAUAUGCACCUGUGUAAGUUGGAAUUCUUAUCUAUUCUAUAGAAAGAAAAGUUCUACAUUGAAAUAUAGCCAACAUCCAGUUAACUCUGAAAAAAAAUCACAUCAUUGCUUGGCUUUUUCUGUUGUUACUUCCUGUUGGCCUAGUGGCAAUGAUUCAUUAUAAUGCAAUGUAAUUCAAUAUCACAUGGUGAAUUUAAAUGGCUGUAUAGGAAAUCUGUAACACUGUUCUUGCUUAAAAAUGUAAAACUUCAAUAGAAGGCGGUUCAUCAGAGAAUUUGGUAACACCAAAUAGUAAACGCUUUGAUUUCAGUAAUACUAAGACCCUGAUAGAAUUAAAAUGUGACUGAAUUUUACUUCUUAGUAAUUAUUUUAUAGCUAAUAUGUAAAAAAAAAAAAACCACCCUUUUCAUCAGUUCAUUGUCUUUCUGAAAGUAGGCUGCUUCCAUUAUAUGUACUGAAAUAUAUUUUCCUAAAUGUUAGGCUUAUUUGAUACAAGCACUCAUUUUAUUUUAUUUAUUUAUUUAUUUAUUUAUUUAUUUGAGACAGAGUUUCGCUCUUGUUGCCCAGGCUGUAGUGCAGUGGAGAUCACUGCAACCUCUGCCUCCAGGGUGCAAGUGAUUCUCCUGCCUCAGGCUCCCGAGGAGCUGAGAUUACAGGCGUCCGCAACCAGGCCCGGCUAAUUUUUUGUAUUUUUAGUAGAGAUGGGGUUUCACCAUGUUGGCCAAGCUGGUCUUGAACUCCUGACCUCAGGUGAUCCACCCGCCUUGGCCUCCCAAAGUGCUAGGAUUACAGGCGGCAGCCACCACACCUGGCCUGCACUCAUUUUAAAGUUGGAAAAACAGAGGCCCCAGUGAUUAGCUUUAGGACGGAAACCAGUAAAUAGAAAUAAAAACACACAAAAAUAUAUACAUAUAUAUACCUACACACAUCUAUACCUACAAAUGUUUAUAUAUGUAUAUACACACAUAUACACACACCUGUAUAAUAUACACAUAUUAUAUAUAUUAUUUAUUUAUUUAAGUUUUUAUUCUUUGUUUUUUUGAGACAGAGUCUCACUUUGUUGCCCAGGCUGGAGUGCCAUGGCGUGACCAUAGCUCAAUGCAGCCUCGACCUCCCAAACACAAGCAAACCUGCCUCAGCCUCUCAAGUAGUUGCGACUACAGGCAUGCACCACCACACCUGGCUAAUUUUUGUUUUAUUCUUUGUACACAUGGGGAUCUUGAUAUGUUACCUAGGUUGGUCUUGAACUCCUGGCCUCAAGUGACUUUCCCACCUCAGUAUCCCAAAGUGCUGAGAUUACAGGUGUGAGCCACUGUGCCCAGCCAAAACCAAACAUUUUUGAGUUAAAAGCCCCUAAUAAGGAUGGCAGAAUUAGAUAAACAAAUAGGUUCAAUAAAGAAGAUCUUGACAAAGUUUUAAUCUACUAAUUUAACGAUAAUGGAAAUUAGUGGAAUUCGAGAGUGAAGAAAUUUCUGCAUUUAUAAAAGAAUGAAUAGAAUUUUGGCAGAGAAGCCACUUUGUUUUUGAAACGAGUUAAGAAUCAAGGAAUAAAUUAGGAUGAUGGCAAUUACCUGGUUAAUGAUAUCCAAUAUAUGUAAAUUAUCUUUGCUGUGGGUAGGAAAUUUGUUUAUUUUCCAUGAGCACUUCAAGAACCCCAUUAACAAAUUGAGUUACAUCUUUUGACUCAACUUUCAUUAUCUGAAUAGUCCUGCUGGGACAGGUAAUAUUCUCCAUUUGGGGCUACAAAUGUUUGCAUUAGAAAUCAAUCUAUUUGUAAAUGUUGUAUUCAAUUUUACAUGAUCUUGAUCUUAUUUUGUUUAAAUUUGUUGUUUUUUUCAAUGACAAGUUGAUGCUUCCAUAAUACAUUUAAAAACAUAACAUACAAUCCUGUAGUUCUGACUGAACUUUCGUCAGGUUUCAGCACUGUAAACCAAGAAACAUCAACAGAUGAAAAGUUCUCCUCCCAAAAGGGUUAAAAGUCUCCGGGGUUUCUAACUAGAUUGACUUCAGUAUAUUCUAGACAUUCUUUUGCUGUUGCUUGGCUCAUUUCCUUCUUGAUAAGAUUCUAUUUUCCUUCCUCUUCCUCUUCUCUCUGUUACUUAAUAUAGCUCCAAAAUAUGGUAUAGUCCUCCAAACCAUUGCUUUCAGUGAAUGUGUUUAUUAUGAGAUAACUGAAGAUUCUGGGGGCACGUGUGUUUCUUAUGUUCCUGUUAGUUUGUUGCUUCCCAGUCCACUUCUGAUAUAAUAGAAUUUGGAACCAGAUUUUUUUUUUUUUUUUUUGCUACCAUUCUGACAUUGUAACAGCCUUUUCCAUUCUCUUUGAACCAAGAUUAAGCCACAAUUCAGUCUUAAAACAAUAAAUCAUCAUUUGCUCCACAUUCUUGACCCUUGGCUUAAUAAGGAGAAACCUUAGGAACAAACAAGCCUCUUUUACUCUUUCAAGUAUUAUCACUGUGAUUUGAAUUUGUCCCCCAAAGUUCAUGCAUUGUAAACCUAAUCCGCAACGCAACAGUGUUGAGAGGUUGGAUCUUUAAGAGGUGAUUAGGUUGUGAGGGCUCUGCCCUCAUGCAUGGAUUAAUGCCAUUGUCUCCAGAGUGGGUCACUGAUUGUGGGAGUGGGUCCUGAUAAAAUGAUGAGUUCAGCCUCUGAUGAGUUCAGCCUCCUUCCCCAGUCUCUCUUGCUCUCUCCCUCCCUCACCUUCCUGCCUUCCACCAUGGAAUAACACAGCAAGAAGGCUGUUUCCAGAUGCUGGCACUUUGCCCUCAGGCUUCCCAGACUCCAGAACUGUGAGAAAUAAAUUUCUUUUCUUUUUAAAUUACCCAGUCUAUGGUAUUGUUAUAGCAACACAAAAUGGACUAAGAUGGUAACUUUGGCAUCUCCAGAGUGUAGUGAAAUAAGGACAAUUCCAAUUCCCUUUUUUUUUCUGUGACCCAUUCCCUCACCUGGCAAUGAAGGAUCUUUGCUGCUUGAUUGACAUGUGCAAAUGGUUAGCUGAACCCCUUGAUUCCAUAUGUCUCCCUCAAAAUCACUUUACAUCCUAAGGCCAGGAUUUGGCCCCUCUCCCUAGGGCCACUGAAGUUUUAGCUAAUUCCAUUUGUAUUAAAAUACUGGUUAAGAGCUAUAAUGGAGGGUGAUUGACUCUGAAUCUUGACAAAUUUAGAAUCUUUUCCGGCUAUUCAAUCAGGCUUUGCCAACCUUCAUUUCCUUUAUUUUUCAAAUGAAGAAAAUGAAGCAGGUAAUUAAGGAUAAAUUUCUUGUGUGAGACAACAUGGGGAGCCUGUGGCACUUCCAGAAUUAGGCCAGGAAUCCCUCUGCCAGGGAAUUCAGUAGAAAUCUCUGCCAAGUUAUCUCUUUGAUGUCUAUCUCCACAAUUCUUAUUUGCUUUGAAAACUACUGCCUCCUACCUUCGUUUCAGAUGUGGAAAUUGAAGCUGUAAUAAAUGUUAAGUAUCCUAAAAGCAGGACUCACAUAGCAAAUUCAAGGCACAACAAGGAUUCUCAAUCGUUGUGUGUUUGUGCUUUUUUCUAACAAUUCCUGCCUACUGCCUUCCUGUGUUAAGAUAGGGAGAAGAGGAUUGUGGCAGAUUCUGGUGUUUUAGUGCCAUAUGCUCUCUUCAUAUGAAUGCUAUUAAUCAUCUGAUUACAGUAAAUUGAUUUAAGUGCUGGUGAGAUCAACAUCUCCUGAAAUUUAUUAAUCUAUUUAUUGAACACCUACUGCAUACAAUGUAGUACAUUAGGUUCUUUUGGGGGAAAAUGAAAAACAAAAAACAAAAAACAAAAAGCAUAUGCUCCUGACAGAGUAUCUUAUACUAUAGUUAGGAAACCACAUCUACAUAAAAUGAUAUUAGAAAACAGCAUAUGAAAACAUAUUUCCUUCAUCCCAUAGUAAGAUGAAACUGUUUUUCCUUUUUAGUGGUUUUGCCUUUUCCACAGCAUUCCCAUUAUAGCCAAAGCCUCUUUUUUUUUUUUUUUUUUUUGAUACAGAGUGCCACUCUGUCGCAAUCUCAGCUCACUGCAACCUCCGCCUCCCAAGUUCAAAUGAUUCUCCUGCCCCAGCCUCCCAAGUAGCUGGGACUACAGGCGCCUGCCACCAUGCCUGGCUAAUUUUUUUGUAUUUUUAGUGGAGACGGGGUUUCAACAUGUUGGCCAGGCUGGUCUUGAACUCCUGACCUCAAAUGAUCCACCCACCUCGGCCUCCCAAAGUGCUGGGAUUAAAGGCGUGAGCCACUGCACCCAGCCAAAGCCGCUCUUAAUAUGACCCCUUAGAAUGAGAUCUAUUUUGCUCGCAAAGUGGGAUCAAACCAGAAUCCGUUUCUUCCACAUUUUCUUGACAUGCUUUGCAUUUCAUUUAGCAAUUUCUUUGAGUUUCUCUUCCAUGUUACAUUUCUUCUUGACAUAGAAACUAGAUUUUCAAUGGUAGACAUUACUAGCCAUUUUGAGCCAGACUUGACUAUGUGGUUGGUUGGAUUCCCACUGACAAGUAUCAUGGUGGGCACUCCGACACACCAUUUCUCUAGCUGCUUCCAUGUGAGUGCCUCCAGGCAGCCAGAGAUUAUUUUCUCUUCCCUUGCCUGCAUCUGUUUACUCCUCCCCAUUGGAUAGGGCCAGCUUGGGUGACAACAUUCCACUGGACUGUAGCACAGUGCACGAUCUAUCAGCUCAAUUGGGAUUCUGCCUUUGGGGAAGUGCUUCCUUUCAGGGACUAGAGAGGUAAGAGAAACUAGUCCUGCCUGGUAGGAGACCUGGCUCCUUCUUCCCCCAAUCCCCUUUGCCUGUUUUUGAUGCUUUGGUUCUGCUCUUUGCUGGGUGAAGGAAGACAGCAGUGUUGGCUGCUUUAGUUUUGGGCUUCCCUACUAUGGCACCAUUUGGGGCAGCAGCCUAGAUGGUGCUGUACUUGGUGGGGGACAACCCCUCACCCCCAAGCAUUUUGCUGCUUCUCUCUGGCUGACGUGUUUCCCUUUUAAUGUGUACUAUAAAAGAAAAGAAGAGGAAGAAAGAGAGAGGAAGGGAGAUGAGGGAGAGUGGGAAGGAGAAAAAAUAUUAAUUUUUGUUCUUAUGUGAAAUUAACGUCUUACUUGCUUUGUGUCUCCUCUUACCCAAGUUGGCUGCAGUGAUGCCCUCUCUGACACAGUAGGUCAGAGACCCUGAGGUUCGUUCGUUCUUUCUUUCUUUCUUUCUUUCUUUCUCUCUCUCUCUUUCUCUCUUUCUCUCUCUCUCUCUCUUUCUCUCUCUCUCUCUCUUUCUCGCUUUCUCUCUUUCUCUCUUUCUCUCUUUCUCUCUCUCUCUCUCUCUCUUUCUUUCUUUCUUUCUUUGAUGGAGUCUCACUUUGUUGCCCAGGCUGGAGUGCAGUGGCACAGUCUCAGCUCACUGCAACCUCCGCCUACCGGGUUCAAGUGAUUCUCCUGCCUCCGCCUCCUGAGUAGCUGAGAUUACAGGCACACACCACCACGCCCAGCUAAUUUUUGUAUUUUUAGUAGAGAUGGGGUUUCACCAUGUUGGCCAGGUUGGUCUCGAACUCCUGACCUCAAGUGAUCCACCUGCCUCGGCCUCCCAAAGUGCUGGGAUUACAGGAGUAAGCCACCAUGCCCGGCCCUUCAUCCUAUUUUGAUGUCAGAGACCACGUAUGGAUAUAGUGCUGGAUGCUUUAUUUACCAACUUGAGCCUUUAAUUUUGCCUCUGAAAUGAAUUAUUUAUUAGCAAAUACAUUAACAUAACAUUUUUCAUUUGGAGGCAUGCUAAACUGUUGACCUUUUUCGUAAAGAUUCUAAGGGGGCUUGAAAAGGAAAAACCUAGAAAUUUAUAAAUACUGAAUAGAGUGUCCAUCCUUCUUCACUUUGUUUCCUAGUAGCGCUUUCAUCCUGUCACAAAUUGGUUCAGCAGCAGAGGAGUUAAUAUGCACAAGCACUUUUCUUUGUCAUAGGACGACAUUCCAUUUGAGUCCUUUAAGGAUGUGCUGGAAAGGGAGUGGGGAAGUUACACCGCAAAUAUUAUCUUCCCCAGAUGCAAACAAGUUUCUUUACUAGUAGAACUGGAAAAUAUGUGCCACUUGCUAAUUUUUUACUUCUAAACUUUUGUUAGGCUGUUAAAUUUGGUGAAUAAUACCAUGAAUUAUUAUUAUAAAGAUUAGCACAUCUAUUUACAAUAGAAUAUUUCAAACAGACAGAAAAGCAUACAAAAUAAUAUGACAAAAAAUCAUCUAUCUACAAUCCAGCCCUAAGUGCUAGAUAGUAUUUCAUGUAAUAAAAUUUUGCCAUAUUUGCUUCAGAUCUCCCUUUUUCCCUCCCUCCCCCUUUUGCCCUCUUCCUCCCUCCCUUUUUUCCCCUUUCCUCUGUUUCUUCCAAGUUAAAACCUUUUUUUCCUCAACAAGCCACCAGAAGUGCUGACAAAGUUAAAAUCAUAUAGAUGUAGUUAAAACCCCUGAAACCAAUCUAUCUCAUUCCUCUCUUGUGAUCUGCAGGGUGACAACUACCCUGAAUUUAGAGUUUUAAUUCCUCUGUGUAUUUUUAUAUUAUUUAAAAUUUUUUUUAAUAAGAGCUGGAGUCUUCCUGUGUUGCCCAGGGUGAAGGGCAGUGCCUAUUCACAGGUGCAAUCCACUAUGAUCAGCACAGGAGUUUUGACCUGCUCUGCUUCCCACACAGGUGGGUUCACCUUUCCUUAGGCAACCAGGUAGCCCUCUGCUCCUGGGAGGUCACUAUAUGAUGCCCAGAACUAGUGGGCUCAAGCAAUCCUCCCGCCUCAGCCUCCCAAGUAGCUGGGUCUAUAGGCACACACCACCACACCCAGCUAUUUUUUAUAUUUAUACUAUAUAUGUAUCCAUAAGACAUAAAGUUGAUUUGCAAGUUUUUCAUCAUUAAAUGAUAUAUUAUGCGCUUUCUUCUUAAUCUCUCACUCAACAUGUAUUAAUACUCAUCUUUUUUUUUUUUUUCUAAACAGUCUCACUCUGUUCACCAGGCUGGAGUGCAAUGGUGUGAUCAUGACUCACUGAAGCCUUGACCUCCUGGGCUGAAGCAAUCUUCCUGCCUCAGCCCUGCAAGUAGCUGGGCCUACGGGCACACGCCGCCAUGCCUAGCUAAUUUUUGUAUUUUUUGUAGAAACAGGGUUUCACAUGUUGCCCAGACUAGUCAUGACCUCCUUAGCUCAAGUGAGCCACCUGUCUCAGCCUCCCAAAGUGCUGGGAUUUCAGGUGUGAGCCACCAUGGUUGGCCCCUAAUACACAUCUUUUUUUUUUUUUUCUUUUUUUUUUGAGAUGGAUUCUCACUCUGUCUCUCAGGCUGGAGUGCAGUGGCACGAUCUUGGCUCACUGCAGCCUCUGCCUCCCAGGUUGAAGCGAUUCUCCUGCCUCAGCCUCCCGAGUAGCUGGAUUACAGGCGCUUGCCACCACGCUCUGCUAAUUUUUGUAUUUUUAGUAAAGAUGGGUUUUGCCAUGUUGGCCAGGCUGGUCUUGAACUUCUGGUCUCAAGUGAUCCGCCCUCCUCAGCCUCCCAAAGUGCUGGGAUUACAGGUGUGAGCCACUGCGUCAGGCCAAUACACAUCUUCUAGUUUAUUUAAAGUGCUAGAUAGUAUUUCAUUGUAUAAAAAGACCACAGUUUAUUCAUUCUUUUGUUGAUAGAUCUUUAAAUUGUUUCCAUUAUUUUUCCCUUACAAACAAUGCAUGAUAAAUGUUUUUGUAUGUGUCUCCUUGUGAGAGUUAUAUAUCUAGGUGUGACAUCACUGGGUUCUAUCACAAGUCUUUGGAAGUAAUUUUUAUGUGGAUAGUGCAACAAUAUGACUAGUUACUUAAAAGAAAAAAAUUAAGUCAAGAUAAGUGGCGGAAGACACAGAAAUUCAGAAAUAGGAUGUAAAAUAGUAAUGGAAUAGUAGGUAAAUUAGAUACAUAAUCCUAUGCCUUUUUUUUUCUUUUUGAGACGGAGUCUCGCACUGUCGCCAAGGCUGGAGUGCAGUGGCGCCAUCUCGGCUCACUGCAAGCUCUGCCUCCGGGGUUCACACCAUUCUCCUGCCUCAGCCUCCCGAAUAGCUGGGACUGUAGGCGCCCGCCACAUGCCCGGCUAAUUUUUUGUAUUUUUACUAGAGGCAGGGUUUCACGGUGUUAGCCAGGAUGGUUUCAAUGUCCUGACCUUGUCAUCCGUCCGCCUCAGCCUCGCAAAAUGCUGGUAUUACAGGCAUGAGCCACUCCGCCUGGCGACAAUCCUAUGCUUUUUUAAAAAGGUAGUUCAUCUUUUGGCUGGGCAUGGUGGCUCAUGUCUGUAAUCCCAGCACUUUGGGAGGCUGAGGCAGGAGGAUCACUUGAGGUCAAGAGUUUGAGACCAGCCUGACCAACAUGGUGAAACCCUGUCUCUACUAAAGGUACAAAAAUUAGCUGGGUGUGGUGGUGCACACCUGUAAUCCCAGCCACUUGGGAGACUGAGGCAGGAGAAUCACGUGAACAUGGGAGGCGGAGGUUGCGGUGAGCUGAGAUCACGCCAUUGUACGCCAGCUUGGGCAACAGAGCAAGACUCCAGCUCAAAAAAAAAAAAAAAAGGGAAACAUUAAUGAAAAGGUAAUUCAUCUUUUGAAAAAAAAAGUAGAGUGAACAUACUGAACAUCACAGAUUUUCAUCUACAUUUAAGAUGCUAGCUUUAGGCUGGGCGAGGUGGCUCAUGCCUGUAAUCCCAGCACUUUGGGAGGCCAAGGUGGGUGGAUCACCUGAGAUCAGGAAUUCGAGACCAGCUUGACCAAUAUGGUAAAACCCUAUCUCUACUAAAAAUACAAAAAUUAGCUGGCAUGGUGGCGUGCACCUGUAGUCCCAGCUACUUAGGAGGCUGAGACAGGAGAAUUGUUUGAACCUGGGAGGCGGAGGUUGCAGUGAGCUGAGAUUGGGUCACUGCACUCCAGCCUGGGCAAGAGAGUGAAACGCUGCCUCACAAAAAAAAAAAAAAAAAAAAAAAAAGAUGCUACCUUUAGUGUCACUGCUUCUGUGAAGCCUUCCAAAAAUUGCCUUUUUUUCAAUUACUUUCUCCUUUUGACCUCCAUUCUCUCUACCUCUGUUAUAUGAUAUUGUGCAUUAUAUUUGCUGUGGUUUGUUUAUAUCUCUCUCAGCAGGCUGAAUGUGUUUUGAAGGUGGAGUUCAUGUCUUAUUCGUAUCCCCAGGGUGUGGUGUGCAGUUGGUGGUUAAGUCUGAGGAAUGAAUGAAUGGCCCAAAUCACCGAAGAUCUUUCAGAGGUGGCAGUGGGGUUUCUUUUUUUCUUUUCGAGAUGGAGUCUUACUCUGUCAUCCAGGCUGGAGUGCAGUGGCACAAUCUCAGCUCACCGCAACCUCUGCCACCCAGGUUCAAGUGAUUCUCCUGCCUCAGCCUCCCGAGUAGCUGGGAUUGCAGGCACGCACCACCACGUCUGGCUAAUUUUUUUAUUUUUGGUAGAGAUGGGGUUUCACCAUGUUGGCCAGGCUAGUCUUGAACUCCUGACCUCAAGUGAACUACCUGCCUCAGCCUCCCAAAGUGCUGGGAUUACAGGCGUGAGCCACUGUGCCCACUGGCAGUGGGUUUCUGAUGAUAGGAUAGUUUCAUGAAAGUUAGCUUAAAGUACAAAAAACUUUUUUUUUUUCUUUUUUUGAGACAGUCUCAUGCUCUGUCCUCCAGGCUGGAGUUCAGUGAUCUUGGCUUACUGCAACCUCUGCCUCCUGGGUUCACGCCAUUCUCCUGCCUCAGCCUCCUGAGUGGCUGGGACUACAGGUGUGCACCACCACGCCUGGCUAAUUUUUUGUAUUUUUAGUAGAGACAGGGUUUCACCAUGUUAGCCAGGAUGGCCUCGAUCUCCUGACCUCGUGAUCUGCCCGCCUCGGCCUCCCAAAGUGCUGGGAUUACAGGCAUGAGCCACCGUGCCCAGUGAAAAAGCUUUGAUCCUUUGUCUUCAAUUGCACCUAUGAAAAGGAAGUUUCGUAUAAAAGCUGAUAUAAAUGGCUAAUAAAGCAGAGAAAUAGCUUAAAAUUUGACUGUAGACAUUUGCUAUGUAUGAUUAAUAUGUAUCAGUUUACAGUUAAUUUUAGGAAAACUUAAAUUUUAUAAAUUGCCAAGAAAUCACCCAUGAAAAACUAAUUUUCACUUAGCGGUUUAAUUUUUUAACAUUAGGAUUUUUAAGUUUCGCUAGUCUUAUCAUCUGGGACACUGGAAUUUUGUCUUGUUGGAAUUGCUGAUUAAACAAAAUAAUUCUUCAAAAGUGCUUAGCACAAUGUUAGGUAAAUAGUAAGCACUAAGUAAACAUUGGCUUUAUUAUUAUUAGGUGGUCCUAUACUAUGAUUCCUCCUAUUUAUAUCACGUGUGUCUUGCUGCAUAUUUAAGGACGCUCCCAUCUAUAUGUUUGGACUAGUGCAAUAGUAAAGCUGCCAGCUCAGGUGAAGAAAACCAUUUAAAAAUUUAAAGUUAAGCACAUGAUGGAAAAUUCUUGAAUAUGUGGUGAGUUAGGUAUAAAAAAUAUAGGGGGAUUGUAUUGUUGAAUACAAAAAAGCCAUUAGACUAUUUUAAGAAUGCUCUCUUCUGUCAUUAGGGCUUGGUUAUGAAUAGUAUAUCACAUGCAUGAAAGGAGGUGGUGGCUAGUUUCAUUUCCCUAAAACAUGUUUCAAUGGUAAAUUAGAGGCAGCUGUGGUUUACUGACGCAUAAACCCAGUGAGGUCUAUGAUAACUAGUAUAUAUUUACAGUUUGACUCAUGGUGCCUGUCAGGCUUUAAUCAUAGGGGAAGAAGUGAUAGUACUUAGACUUCACUGUUUAAUCUUCCGUUCAUUUGUUUUCCAAGUUUGUUUCAGUCUGUGGGCAGGUUCCCUUUUGAUUGCAACAUGCAGUCCCUAUUUCUGCAGUUUAUCUUCAUUUGCCAUUUUGAGAGGGCUAUGAAAGUCCUAUGAUAAGCUCCUUGUUCUCCAAAUCCAUGCAUAUAAGUCUCAUCGAGUUGGAUGCAUUCUAAAGACAUUUUGAAAUCACAUCAACACUUUCAGAUCAGCAAGUUAUUUCUUAAUAAAUUACUGUCUUAAUGUUAGAUGCUAUUUUAAAAACACGAAAGAGAGCAGUUUCCAAAUAUGUGUUACUACUUCCAGGGAAUUGUAAACUGGAGUGUUUAAUUAAAAGAAGGCCCUAAAUUUUUAUUAUGCUGUCACUGGAUAUUUGAAUAACUAGCUGUAAAUGAGUUCUAGUUGUACAAAAGUGAUUUUCUAAAUCCAGUUGUCCCUAUUUCAAAAUAUAGUUCUAGUUCCUGGGUGAAACUGAAAAUGAAAUGGCCAUGUCUUUAUAACUAAAACAAAUUAGAGGGUUGCAGCAAUAAAAUGAACCCACAGAGGGGAAAAAAACCCUUUGAAUCAGGUUUUUAUUUUCUUCUCCUGAACUGAUUGGGUAAUUUACUCAACUAAUUUUGUCUAGUCAUUAGGAAGUUAAUACUCCAUUCUAUAAUUUCCUUCCACUCAAGUGAGCAAUACUGGUGCAUAUAAUUUGGAUUAAGAACAUUCCUCUACUCUUACAAAUAUUUGGAUAUAUGCCUUGAAUAUGCUUCCUCAUUUAGGCCACAGAAAUUUAUUCAAAGACAAAUCAAUCAAAGAUAAUAACAUUAACUACUAUUUAUUAAGCAUCUCCUUCAUGACAAGACUUUUUCCCAUAUUGAGAUAUAAUUGACAAUUGAAAAUUGUACAUAUUUAAAGUGUACAACAUGAUGAUUUGAUAUGCAUAUAUAUCCAUGCAUAUAUAUCCAUAUCCAUAUCCAUGCAUAUAUAUGGAUAUAUAUGCAUAUAUAUGCAUAUCAAAUCAUGUCGUACACUUUAAAUAUGUACAUAUUUCAAUUAUGCAUAUAUAUGCAUAUAUCCAUAUCAAAUCAUAUAUAUAUAAUAUGCAUAUAUAUCAUAUACAUAUCCAUCACCUCACAUAGUUACCAUUUUCUUUUGUUCUCUCUCUCUUUCUUCCUUCCUUUCUUUCCCUUCUUUUUUAUUUUUUGGUGGUGAGAACACUUAAGAUCCACCCUCUUAGCAAAUUUCAAGUAUAUAAUAUAGUGUUGCUAAUUGUAGUCACAUCGUUGUAGAAUACAUCUCCAGAAUUCAUUCAUUUGGAUAACUGAAACUCUGUAACCCUUUUCCAAUAUCUCCCCAUUCCUCUAUCCCUCCAGCUCAUGGCAACCAACAUUCCACUCUCUGCUGUUCUAAGUUUGACUACUUUAGUUUUUACAUAUAAGUGAAAUCAACACAGUAUUUGUUUUUCUGUGUCUCGCUUAGUUUACUUAGCUUAAUGUUCUUCAGGUUCAUUCAUGUUGUAAAUGACAGGAUUUCCUUUUGUUUUGAAGGCUGCAUAAUAUUCUGUUGUAUAUGUAUACCAUAUUUUCUUCAUCCAUUCAUCUGUUGAUGGACAUUUAGGUUGUUUUCAUAUCUUGGCUAUCAUGAAUAAUGCUGCAAUGAACGUAAGAGUAGAGAUAUCUCUUAGAAAUCCUGAUUUUCCUUUUUUUUUUCAGACAGUCUUGUCACCCAGGCUGAAGUGCAGUGGCAUGAUCUCGGCUCACUGCAACCUCCGCUUCUUGGGUUCAAGUGAUUCUCCUGCCUCAACCUCUGGAGUAACUGGGAUUAUAGGCAUAUGUCACCAUGCCCGGCUAAUUUUCUUAUUUUUAAUAGAGAUGGGGUUUCAUCAUGUUGGCCAGGCUGGUCUGGAACUCCUGACCUCAGGUGAUCUGCCCGCCUCGGCCUCCCACAGUGCUGGGAUUACAGGUGUGAGCCACCGUGCCUGGCCUAUUUGAUCAUCUUUUACAGCUUAGGGAAUUAAGGUUUAGAUGUGGCACAGGACAGAAACAUACUUUGAAGAUAGGUCUGUUUGACUUCAAAACCUGUGCUCUUUGCCAGGUGCAGUGGCUCACGCCUGUAAUCACAGCACUUUGCAAGGCCAAGGCAGGAGGAUCACUUGAGGUCAGGAGUUUGAGACCAGCCUGGCCAAUAUGGCAAAACCCUGUUUCUAUUAAAAAUGCAAAUAUUAGCCAGUCAUGGUGGUGUGCUCCUGUAAUCCCAGCUACUUGGGAGGCUGAGGCACGAGAAUCACCUGAAUCCCGGAGGUGGAGGUUGCAGUGAGCUGAGAUCGUGCCACUGCACUCCAGCCUGGGUGACAGAGUGAUAGUCUAUCUCAAAAAAAAAAAAAAAAACAAAAAACAAAAAACCCCCACAAAACCCACAAAACCAAACCAAAAAACCUGUGCUCCUUACUGUGCUCUCCUGCCUCUCAGUGCGAGAUAAACAGAGUGGGCAAAAUAGCCUAUGAUGUCAUCAUCCGCAAGGCCUGUUGCUACUGUGUGAUGCCUGCUCCCUAGAUGACCUCCUGGGGGGGUGAAGCGAGAGGAAAUCUGGCACCAAGCUGGUUGAGGGGCAGAGCGAGAAUGUCUGGGCUUCCCCCACCCAGCUUGGAAUGUGAGUGAUGCAAAUCAUCUCAUCGAAGGCUCAACUGCAGCCAGGAGACUCCUCCAGUGAUGAUGAGAGUGUACAAAUGAAGUGCAGGAGCGGGGGAGCCUUCACACACCUCCAGCCCUUCCUGCUUCUUGAAAUACUCAUAUCCUCUGGCAGAGACUAGCUACAGAAAUCCAUGUCCACUUACUCACAGCCUGAAAGAAACCCACACAGUGGACCAGGAAGGUUGUUGCAUGGUAAUUAGAGCUACUAUUGAAUUUCUAUUGUGCAUCUUCUCAAUUAGGCACAAUUACCACAUAUAAGAAAUGAGGAAAUUAAGACUCAGAGGAAUUAGGUGAAUUGCCCAAGGUUAUUACAUAGCUUAUACCUGGCCAACCAGGGUUUAAACAUUGUUCUAUAUCCUAAUCCAAGACCCAUGUUCCUCUCACUACUCAGGUUUAUUUCUUUCGCACAGGGAUAUUACAAAGUCAUUAUAUUUCCUGAUUAUAUUUUUGCUGCUGCUGUAUGACCAUCUCGUUUCUUGUCACUGACUUUAUCCAAAAGCAAGAACAUGGUAUGGAAUUUUGGGGGAAGCAGUUGAAAUGAAGUGUUGGAAUUUCAGAGCUUGCAUUACUGGAUUAUGUGUGGAUUGUUGUUUGUACUGCCUCUUUCUUCCUCCUGCUACCUCAUAUAGGUGCUUGAUAUCUGAUUAUUACAGUCUUUUUAGGGGUUCUUGAACAUACUCACUUGUAGAAAAGUGCUGGUUAAAAUCAUAACAGGCAGACAUUUGGGUUCUUAUAGCCUUGCAAUAAAUGGAAGGAAGUAACUUUUGGGCUUAUGAAAAUGUAUACUGCAAGGUUUUUCUUUCUUUCUUUCUUUCUUUCUUUCUUUCUUUCUUUCUUUCUUUCUUUCUUUCUUUUUCUUCCUUCCUUCCUUCUUCCUUCCUUCCUUUCUUCCUUUCUUCCUUCCUUCCUUCCUUUCUUCCUUUCUUCCCUUCUUUCUUUCUUUCUUGAGACAGGGUCUCGCUCCAUCACCCAGGCUGGAGUGCUCACUGCAAGGAUCCUCCUGCCUCAGCCUCCCAAGUAGCUAGGACUACAGGCAUAGCCACCAUGCCUGGCUAACUUUUCUUAUUUUUUGUUUUAUGUAGAGACAGUAUCUUGCUGUGUUGCCUAGGCUGGUCUCAAACUCCUGGCUUCAAGGGAUGCCCCCACCUUGGUCUUCCAAAAUUCUGAGAUUAUAGGCACGACCCACCAUGCCCAGUGGUUUUCUUAAAGUUCUCUGCAAGGUGUAGAUAGUUUCAUGAGUAAGAUGAUUAGUCAGUACAGUAGCAACAUUAGGUAAUUGGUUUUGCCAUUUCGAGCUUGUAGCAAAUUAUCCAUUCUUAUAUGACAAAGCCUAUGGGACAACUGGAGGACUUGAACUGUUUCUCUUCAGUGCCCGUAAAGAAGGGACUGAAGCUUCAUAAAUCUAGUCCUUCACUCUCCUAGCUCUGAUCCUGUCCUUUCUGUAAGUAAUGAUCAUAUUGCCUUCAGUAGGUGUUUGUCAAGUCUGUAUUUUGUUUUAGAGACAGGAGCUCGCUUUGCUGCCCAGGCUGGACUCGAACUCCUGGGCUCACUUUAUCCUCCUGCCUCAGCCUCUCUGAGUAGCUGGGACUACAAGCACUGCCAUGGAGACCAAUUUGUCAAGCAUUUUAAUACCAUCUCAUCACUGUAAUGAUCAACACAUGUGAUCUAAAAAUCUUUUACAUGGCAGUGGAAAGGGCUUGAGCCAUCUCCGUAUUAAAACCCAGGUGGUAUCCUCAUCCUUUAAUCUUGAAAUGUUGAAAGAGUUGAUUAGCUGUCCUUGCUAGCUAUCUCUAGGAAGGAUAGCUAAUAACUGUUUUGCUUUUGCUUUUGUGUGUGUGUGUGUAUAUAUAUUUAUAUGUAUAUAUGUGUGUAUAUAUAUACAAAAGCAAAAGCAAGACAGUAUUUGAAAUUUGAAGACAUUGAUUCUCAUAACCAGUCUAUUUCAGGAUUAAAUCACAUAACCACCAAUCUCUGCCAACCCACUUUCCAGUAACCACCCCACCUCCAAUUUCCUGUAAAUAGCAAACACUCUGUAGUAUUUCAUCUACAGGGAGCACUGUUGAGUAGCUGGAGUAGUAACAGUAUUUGCUUAUUUUUUUACUUGAGAAGGCUUUUUGUUUGUUUUGAGAUUGGUGUGUGUUGGGGGGGUCUCACUAUGUUGCCCAAGCUGGAUUUGAACCUCUGAGCUCAAACCUCCUGCCUCAGCCUCUUGAGUAACUGGGACUACAGAUGCGUCACCACGUCUGGCUACUUGAGAAGUUUUACAAUUUUUAUGUUUUAAAAGCAGGAAAAGAAAAAAAUCUAGGACUUGUCUCUGUCAUAACAUCAUCCAUAAAAAGUGAUUUUAAGAUGAAGAUUUCUCCUAGAGAGAUACAAGCUGGUGGAUCUAGCAUUCAGCUCUCACUUUCAUUCAAUAUAGUUGUCAUUUUAGACCCAAGCUUUCCCUAGAGAUAGUGAUUCCACCAGGGGAAGCAAUAUGUGAAGUUAUUGCAAGAAACUUUUUGUGUGAAAUUGUGACUGCUGCCAGAGAUGUCAUAUGUUUUAGUUAACUUUCUUCCCAGGAACCAAGAAAAUUUCCCAAGCCCCAGAUAAAUACAGCUGGAAUGCUAUUCAGAAGUCAGUAGCAUGGGGCUGAAGAGAGAGACUGAAUUUUACACACUCCAUUUGUUUCUGGUUGAGAUAAACCCUCUGUUCUAUUUUGCUUACGGUAAAAAUCCAAUUCACUUUGAAAGUUGUAAAGCCCAAAGAACUCAAACAAAUUUACAAGAAACAAACAACCCCAUCAACAAGUGGCCGAAGGAUAUGAACAGACACGUCUCAGAAGAAGGCAUUUAUGGAGCCAACAGACACAUGAAAAAAUGCUCAUCAUCACUGGCCAUCAGAGAAAUGCAAAUCAAAACCACAAUGAGAUACCAUCUCACACCAGUUAGAAUGGCGAUCAUUAAUAAGUCAGGAAACAAUAGGUGCUGGAGAGGAUGUGGAGAAAUAGGAACACUUUUACACUGUUGGUGGGACUGUAAACUAGUUCGACCAUUGUGGAAGACAGUGUGGCGAUUCCUCAGGGAUCUAGAACUAGAAAUUCCAUUUGACCCAGCCAUCCCAUUACUGGGUAUAUACCCAAAUGACUAUAAAUCAUGCUGCUAUAAAGACACAUGCACACUCAUGUUUAUUGCAGCACUACUCACAAUAGCAAAGACUUGGAACCAACCCAAAUGUCCAUCAAUGAUAGACUGGAUUAAGAAAAUGUGGCACAUAUACACCAUGGAAUACUAUGCAGCCAUAAAAAAGGAUGAGUUAAUGUCGUUUAUAGGGACACGGAUGAAGUUGGAAACCAUCAUUCUCAGCAAACUAUCGCAAGGACAAACAACCAAACACCGUGUGUUCUCACUCAUAGGUGGGAAUUGAACAAUGAGAACACUUGGGCACAGGAAGGGAAACAUCACACACCGGGGCCUGUUGUGGGGUGGGGGGA
This 40609-nucleotide long non-coding RNA is filed under the name Homo sapiens (human). RNAcentral describes it as "non-protein coding lnc-TMEM178A-1:8". The record is from RNAcentral. Lineage: Eukaryota; Metazoa; Chordata; Mammalia; Primates; Hominidae.